GUGUCUGAGAGAGAGUGUGUCUGAGAGAGUGUGUCUGAGAGAGUGUGUCUGAGAGAGUGUGUGAGAGAGAGAGUGUCUGAGAGAGUGUGUGAGAGAGAGUGUCUGAGAGAGUGUGUGAGAGAGAGAGAGUGUGUCUGAGAGAGUGUGUGAGAGAGAGUGUCUGAGAGAGUGUUGAGAGAGAGAGAGUGUGUCUGAGAGAGUGAGAGAGAGAGAGUGAGUGUAGUGUAAAAGAAUCGAAAGCUCUGAAAAGUGAAUGUAACAGUUACAAAAAUAGAGACUUUUGACUUAUUCCACGCCUGCCACCCGUAUCCUCCCUCCAGACCUAGCCCAGGGGAAGUGUCACACUGGUGCCAAAACCUGGGACGGAGGAGGAUCACCGCCCUGGAGAUAAUGUUAAUUCCAUGUUAAUUCCCUUGCCGGCCUCCACGCUCCUGAAGCUCUUCGAGGGUGCUGCGGACGCGGGGGCUGGCCAGUGUCAAGUGGGCGGUCCUCCUGCUGCCACUAUUGUCGGGGAAGCCCAGCUCGCAACCCAACAGCUUCCGGUCCGUGAACCUGCUGCAGUACCUGGACUUAAAGUGGGCCAUUUUGCAACAGGUUGGCCACACCCCG
Ictalurus punctatus (channel catfish) is the source of this 609-nucleotide long non-coding RNA. The record is from Ensembl. Lineage: Eukaryota; Metazoa; Chordata; Actinopteri; Siluriformes; Ictaluridae.